RNAcentral lists this non-coding RNA (27 nucleotides) under Bombyx mori (domestic silkworm). Lineage: Eukaryota; Metazoa; Arthropoda; Insecta; Lepidoptera; Bombycidae. The record is from RNAcentral.
CCGUCAGAGAACUCCGGCGAUUUUUGG